Non-coding RNA from Paramuricea clavata, 430 nucleotides. The record is from the annotation of a GenBank genome assembly. NCBI's taxonomy places the organism in Eukaryota, Metazoa, Cnidaria, Anthozoa, Malacalcyonacea, Plexauridae.
UAAAUAUCCUGAAGUUUGUGUACUUAAAUUAUUAUUGAAUAAACAUUACCAGAAGAAAAGAUUCUAUGACGUUAAUAAAUGCAAGCCAAAUGUGUCGAAACAAGGGCCCAAUUAAAGUUUUCAAAAGAGAACUAAUAGUAUAGAUUGCGUGUAUUAUGACAGACACAAGGCGGCACAACUGACUCUCUCUUCAACGGGGAACAAAUAUUCAACGAUUGAAUCCGCAUUUUCUCUGAUAAUGUUUGAGAUCAUAAACAGGAAGACGUGAAACAGACAAUGCUUUAGGAUAUUUGAAAAUAAUGGAAUAAAACAUCGGUGAUUUAGCCAAGCUCGGUAAUCAGUAGCUAUAUAAGGUCGACGCAUCGUGGCUUGAUAAAAACCCUGGCUUGCGAGGUUGUCCGUUUAUAUCCAGCAUUUCAACAGUCAAAAG